UAACGUAGCGAAAGUUACGCUAAUACCGCAUAUUCUGUGAGCAGGAAAGCAGGGGAUCGCAAGACCUUGCGCUGAUUGAGCGGCCGAUAUCAGAUUAGCUAGUUGGUGAGGUAAAGGCUCACCAAGGCGACGAUCUGUAGCGGGUCUGAGAGGAUGAUCCGCCACACUGGAACUGAGACACGGUCCAGACUCCUACGGGAGGCAGCAGUGGGGAAUUUUGGACAAUGGGCGCAAGCCUGAUCCAGCCAUGCCGCGUGAGUGAAGAAGGCCUUCGGGUUGUAAAGCUCUUUCGGCCGGGAAGAAAUCGCACAGGUUAAUACCCUGUGUGGAUGACGGUACCGGAAUAAGAAGCACCGGCUAACUACGUG
Molecule: ribosomal RNA, 368 nt
Filed under: uncultured bacterium
Lineage: Bacteria
Description: bacterial SSU rRNA
Rfam family: Bacterial small subunit ribosomal RNA
Source: RNAcentral